Molecule: ribosomal RNA, 242 nt
Filed under: uncultured bacterium
Lineage: Bacteria
Description: partial 16S ribosomal RNA
Rfam family: Bacterial small subunit ribosomal RNA
Source: RNAcentral
ACUCCUACGGGAGGCAGCAGUGGGGAAUCUUGCGCAAUGCGCGAAAGCGUGACGCAGCAACGCCGCGUGGGGGAAGACGGCCUUCGGGUUGUAAACCCCUUUCAGUUGGGACGAAGCUCGGUCGGUGAACAGCCGCGCCGGGUGACGGUACCUUCAGAAGAAGCCCCGGCCAACUACGUGCCAGCAGCCGCGGUAAUACGUAGGGGGCAAGCGUUGUCCGGAAUCAUUGGGCGUAAAGAGCG